CAGAAACUGAAGGGCUUUAACCUUCGCUUAAGGCUUUGAAGGCCUUUGGUCUAGGUUAACCUAAGUUUCU
This 70-nucleotide transfer RNA is filed under the name Rana amurensis. RNAcentral's name for it is "tRNA-Trp". The record is from RNAcentral. Lineage: Eukaryota; Metazoa; Chordata; Amphibia; Anura; Ranidae.